UCCUACGGGAGGCAGCAGUAGGGAAUCUUCCACAAUGGACGCAAGUCUGAUGGAGCAACGCCGCGUGAGUGAAGAAGGUUUUCGGAUCGUAAAGCUCUGUUGUUGGUGAAGAAGGAUAGAGGUAGUAACUGGCCUUUAUUUGACGGUAAUCAACCAGAAAGUCACGGCUAACUACGCGCCAGCAGCCGCGGUAAUACAGA
This 200-nucleotide ribosomal RNA is filed under the name uncultured bacterium. Its description in RNAcentral is "partial 16S ribosomal RNA". It matches the Rfam family "Bacterial small subunit ribosomal RNA", at positions 337 to 529 of the family's 1533-position model. The record is from RNAcentral.